AGUGAACGCUGGCAGUAGGCCUAACACAUGCAAGUCGAACGGCAGCACAGUAAGAGCUUGCUCUUACGGGUGGCGAGUGGCGGAUGGGUGAGGAAUACAUCGGAAUCUACUUUUUCGUGGGGGAUAACGUAGGGAAACCUACGCUAAUACCGCAUACGACCUACGGGUGAAAGCAGGGGAUCUUCGGACCUUGCGCGAUUGAAUGAGCCGAUGUCGGAUUAGCUAGGUGGCGGGGUAAAGGCCCACCAAGGCGACGAUCCGUAGCUGGUCUGAGAGGAUGAUCAGCCACACUGGAACUGAGACACGGUCCAGACUCCUACGGGAGGCAGCAGUGGGGAAUAUUGGACAAUGGGCGCAAGCCUGAUCCAGCCAUACCGCGUAGGUGAAGAAGGCCUUCGGGUUGUAAAGCCCUUUUGUUGGGAAAGAAAAGCAGCAGGUUAAUACCCCGCUGUUCUGACGGUACCCAAAGAAUAAGCACCGGCUAACUUCGUG
This 492-nucleotide ribosomal RNA is filed under the name uncultured bacterium. RNAcentral's name for it is "partial 16S ribosomal RNA". It matches the Rfam family "Bacterial small subunit ribosomal RNA", at positions 29 to 507 of the family's 1533-position model. The record is from RNAcentral.